AGCUUUGCGCAGUGGCAGUAACAUAGCUGAUGAUAAGGUUCAUCCGAGGCGUGUUUAUUGCUAGUUGAAAACUAUACCCAAUACCCCGCCCUGUGGACGUGUAAACCGUUCGCUGUGGCAAUUUCUGAUGGGUUUCCCGGAAC
Molecule: small nuclear RNA, 143 nt
Gene: U4
Rfam family: U4 spliceosomal RNA
About the family: U4 small nuclear RNA (U4 snRNA) is a component of the major U2-dependent spliceosome. The structure of U4 snRNA from yeast and human has been reported.
Source: Ensembl